RNAcentral lists this long non-coding RNA (211 nucleotides) under Elaeis guineensis (African oil palm). RNAcentral describes it as "long non-coding RNA (EGUI_LNC050190)". The record is from RNAcentral. Lineage: Eukaryota; Viridiplantae; Streptophyta; Magnoliopsida; Arecales; Arecaceae.
CUCAAAUUAAUGUUACUACUCCAAGACAUUAGCUUUUAGAAUUUACUUCUUUUCAACAUGAUUUAGGGCUUGUGAUCCAUUUGCGCAAUGCUCUCGAUUGUAUAAUUAUUUGUCUAUCUUGUAUUUGCUUGGUUAGGCUUUUGUUGUUUACAUUGCAAGUUAUGAACUUUGUUACAAUUUUUAUUAAUAAUUUAGCAGUAGCUCCUCUUUC